This 497-nucleotide ribosomal RNA is filed under the name uncultured bacterium. RNAcentral's name for it is "partial 16S ribosomal RNA". It matches the Rfam family "Bacterial small subunit ribosomal RNA", at positions 27 to 507 of the family's 1533-position model. The record is from RNAcentral.
GGGGGGGGGGGGGGGGGGGGGUGGGGGGGGGGGGUCGGGGGGGGGUGCGGGAGGGUUGGGUCUCUGCUGUUGGCGGCGGAGGGGUGGGUCCCACUUGGCUCACCUGGCUAUCAGCCUGUGCUCACUUCUGGGAACCGGAGCUCCUACCGGCUCAUAUUUUGCCCCGCAUUGUUCUCACUUGACGGCCGGUCUUGUUUUCACUGCUAGCUGGCUACGCGCUGCAUUAGCUCGUUGGUAAGUGAACGGCUUACCAAGUCAACUAAGCAUAACCGACCUGAGAGGGUGAUCGGCCACACGGGAACUGAGACACGGUCCAGACUCCUACGGGAGGCAUCAGUAGGGAAUCUGCCGCAAUGGGCGAAAGCUUGACGGAGCAACGCCGCGUGAGUGAUGAAGGUCUUCGGAUCGUAAAACUCUGUUAUUAGGGAAGAACAAAUGUGUAAGUAACUGUGCACAUCUUGACGGUACCUAAUCAGAAAGCCACGGCUAACUACGUG